GCUUUCGUAGUGUAAUUAGAAGCAUGUCCGGCUGGCAAUCGAGAUGUCCGGAGUUCGAAUCCUGCGAGGGCA
This 72-nucleotide transfer RNA is filed under the name Stegodyphus mimosarum. It matches the Rfam family "tRNA". From Rfam's summary of the family: Transfer RNA (tRNA) molecules are approximately 80 nucleotides in length. Their secondary structure includes four short double-helical elements and three loops (D, anti-codon, and T loops). The record is from Rfam by way of RNAcentral. Lineage: Eukaryota; Metazoa; Arthropoda; Arachnida; Araneae; Eresidae.